This 2100-nucleotide long non-coding RNA is filed under the name Eucalyptus grandis. Its description in RNAcentral is "long non-coding RNA (EGRA_LNC006850)". Lineage: Eukaryota; Viridiplantae; Streptophyta; Magnoliopsida; Myrtales; Myrtaceae. The record is from RNAcentral.
GAAAAUUUAGGCCCAGGAGUCCUUAGCCCACAUUCGCGUUCUCUUCUGGAGCUGGUUCGUACGAAAAAUCAAGAGCAGAAAAAAGAGAGAGAGGAGCGAGUUGGCAAAAGAAAAAGAAAUCAGAGAAAGAGGGGAAUCUGAGAGUGAGCGGAAGGGGGCUUUUGCUGCGAUUCGGUUCGGAGGCCACGAUGAGCUAGAUUCAUACCAUUUUGAAGCACUCGGUAAGAAAUUCCAAACCUUGAUAAAUCUAAUGAAAUCAAAGAAAUUUGUUCUGUUAAGUUGUAAUUUCGGAUCGGUUCAGGUUUUAGGGUUGCCGGGUUGAUUCUUGAGAUCGUUGAGCCUUGAAAUGAUGUCAUUUUGAAACGUUAGGUUGGUCUUGGAAUUGUGAGAUUUUUUGGAUUGCCGUUUGAGAGAUAUUGAUUCUUUGAAGUUCUCAAAAACUAAUGUACAGUAACAACAACCAGCAGGGUUUUGUCCUGGAUUUCAUCAGUCGUCCGCCAAAUUAUGGCUCUAAGGAGUUUUGGGUCUUUUAGUACUUUGAAUUAGCUCUUGUUUGACUGUAAACUCACUUAAAAUGGAGUCUAGUAGAGAUGUAUGACAUGCCAACAUUAGUAACGUAAGACAAGAUUGCUGCUCUGUUUGUUGUAGCAAGUUUGAUGCUUGUGUGGCGUUUUUGUCGACUCAUACUGGAUGUUUUGACUCCAAAAAUUAGUGUUGCCUUGUAGAAUCUUAGUUAAGGUUAGUGAUAUGUAAGAUUCACAUUUGGUUAAUGCUUUCUUUGAUAGGAUUUUUUAGCUUUUCAGGUGGUAAAGCUUUCAAUUUAGCUUUUGGUUAGCGAGGAGUGAUACUUAUUUCUUCUCUGAUUUGUAAACUCACGGCUUGAAAAUCAUAGAUAUUACAUAUGCCAUAAGUUAUGAACGAGAACAUUGCACGCUAUGAUUUUUUUUUUAAAUGGUGUUUAGAGCAUUUUUGUUGUAUAAAGCUAGAUCUUGCAUUUAAUACCCAUUUGGUUAUUUGAAAUAGCAUAGUAAAAUAUCUCCUGAGAUGGUUGGAGAGUUUAUUAUUUAUGAAAUUGUUUGAGAAAUUUUUCAUGAAUGUAUUCUUCUUGUGGAUAGAAUUGCGAAGGGUUGUAUCGAUUUUUUACUCUAGUUUAUUAAACGGGUUCUGAAAUGAGUUUGCUGCAGAUAGGAUUAUGUUGAUUAUUUUAUCCUCUUGUCGCUAUGAUCUGAAAUCAUUGAAGGGAUGUGAGUAAGCAAACAUGUUCUCAGGAUGUCUUGUACAGCCAAAGGCACCGGCUGAGAUUAGUGGAAACUUAUGCCUAGAAGGAUAUCUUGGUAAGCCUUGUCAUGGGGCGUUAGACAUGGCUAUGUUUAAUACGAAGUACUAGAGUGAUCAAUAGACUAGACCACAUAUGUUUACUUAAAUAUUGUUGAUCGAAUGAGCAUUUUUCUAAUAUGUUGAAAACGUUGUUAGAGUGAUGUAACUCAUAUAUAGACUUUUACAUAUAUUACAUACUGGAUUUGGUUGUGUUUCUGUUGCUGUUUAUACUGUGAAUAGUUUAUGCUCUAUUUGUUGAGAAAUGUACUAUUUAUCGAGAGGUGGUUUGCUCAUACCAUUCAUUGCAAUUCUUUUUCAGCUGCCGACAAAUAGGAGGAAAGCUACAUCAGUGAAGAAAUCUUAGGAAUUUGGGUUUUGGGUAUAACUUGAGAUAAUUGUGCGUAUAACUUGUGAUGAUACUUUUUGAGUUUAGUUUGUCAGUCCCUGGAGAUAUAUAUAUUAUGUUGGUGGAUUUUAGAACUCUAGUCAUGUAACUAUCCUAUUAUUAUGAGAUGUUAAUGAAUAUAUAUUUUGAUAACAGGUUUAUAUUGGUAACUCGUAUGAGACUGCAUCCUUUGGACCGAAGGACAAUUGUGCCAUUUUUCCUAUGUUUGUAGAGUUGGGUUUUGAUGGUUUUUUCAAUUUGUCCUUUUAAGUUUUUUUCAGAAACAUCAAGCCAGGCGAGUAGUCAUUGUUCAGAUUAUGAUACCCCAUACAGUGCAAGUCAAGGGGUUGUGUAAGAGGAUGAUAUUGCUUUUGCUCGGUGUUAUUUGCUUCAGCUCU